GCCCCCGUCAUUCGGGAGUAGCUGCACCUCAUUGCGAGGUGGCCUGCGUCAACAUGAUUGGCCCCACAGGGCCAUGGCGCCGGCGGUUACAGCCCUGGUUUUCAACAGCCAGCGGCUUUUUUCUUGGCAAGACGUCUGACC
Molecule: small RNA, 141 nt
Filed under: Aquabacterium sp. NJ1
Lineage: Bacteria; Pseudomonadati; Pseudomonadota; Betaproteobacteria; Burkholderiales; Sphaerotilaceae
Also listed under: 1 other name
Description: Manganese Mn2+ riboswitch aptamer (yybP-ykoY)
Rfam family: Manganese Mn2+ riboswitch aptamer (yybP-ykoY)
About the family: This RNA was originally discovered in E. coli during a large scale screen and was named SraF. The family was later found to exist upstream of related families of protein genes in many bacteria, including the the yybP and ykoK genes in B. subtilis.
Source: Rfam by way of RNAcentral